CGUUCCCGGGCCUUGUACACACCGCCCGUCAAGUCAACGAAAGUUGGUAACACCCGAAGCCGGUGGCCUAACCCCUUGUGGGAGGGAGCUGUCGAAGGUGGGACUGGCGAUUGGGACU
RNAcentral lists this ribosomal RNA (118 nucleotides) under uncultured bacterium. RNAcentral's name for it is "partial 16S ribosomal RNA". It matches the Rfam family "Bacterial small subunit ribosomal RNA", at positions 1369 to 1482 of the family's 1533-position model. The record is from RNAcentral.